GAUGAACGCUGGCGGCGUGCCUAAUACAUGCAAGUCGAGCGAACGGACGAGAAGCUUGCUUCUCUGAUGUUAGCGGCGGACGGGUGAGUAACACGUGGAUAACCUACCUAUAAGACUGGGAUAACUUCGGGAAACCGGAGCUAAUACCGGAUAAUAUUUUGAACCGCAUGGUUCAAAAGUGAAAGACGGUCUUGCUGUCACUUAUAGAUGGAUCCGCGCUGCAUUAGCUAGUUGGUAAGGUAACGGCUUACCAAGGCAACGAUGCAUAGCCGACCUGAGAGGGUGAUCGGCCACACUGGAACUGAGACACGGUCCAGACUCCUACGGGAUGCAGCAGUAGGGAAUCUUCCGCAAUGGGCGAAAGCCUGACGGAGCAACGCCGCGUGAGUGAUGAAGGUCUUCGGAUCGUAAAACUCUGUUAUUAGGGAAGAACAUAUGUGUAAGUAACUGUGCACAUCUUGACGGUACCUAAUCAGAAAGCCACGGCUAACUACGUG
RNAcentral lists this ribosomal RNA (497 nucleotides) under uncultured bacterium. RNAcentral's name for it is "partial 16S ribosomal RNA". It matches the Rfam family "Bacterial small subunit ribosomal RNA", at positions 28 to 507 of the family's 1533-position model. The record is from RNAcentral.